GUGGCAGUUGCUCAGUGGUAGAGCUCCCGCUUCGUACGACGCCGGAAGACCUGGGUUCGAUUCCCGGCUGCUUUC
RNAcentral lists this transfer RNA (75 nucleotides) under Toxocara canis (dog roundworm). It matches the Rfam family "tRNA". From Rfam's summary of the family: Transfer RNA (tRNA) molecules are approximately 80 nucleotides in length. Their secondary structure includes four short double-helical elements and three loops (D, anti-codon, and T loops). Lineage: Eukaryota; Metazoa; Nematoda; Chromadorea; Rhabditida; Toxocaridae. The record is from Rfam by way of RNAcentral.